This 199-nucleotide long non-coding RNA is filed under the name Musa acuminata (dwarf banana). RNAcentral describes it as "long non-coding RNA (MACU_LNC002737)". The record is from RNAcentral. Lineage: Eukaryota; Viridiplantae; Streptophyta; Magnoliopsida; Zingiberales; Musaceae.
GAUAUGUUUACGAAGCCUCUUCCGGUUUACAAGUUCAAGCAGUGCUUGGACUUGGUUGGUAUUCAUUGUUGGUGAUUGCCCGUUGGGGCUUUUGUGAAGAAGGUGGAGCAAGUUUUGUUGGGACAUGCCAAGGUGGAGAUUUGUUAGUUUGGCAAGUCCCAUAGUCCCACAUCGGGAAAAUUAGACUUAUUGUCUCGUC